GUUACCCCAUUUCCUGACCUUGUGCCUGCUUCCUCUUCCGUGAGUCUUCCUGUCUGAAAGGCAGGUGUAGCCCCGCAGCCUUGCUCCUCUAUUUUAAGGUUAGCGAUCCGUGGUUUUAACUCCUAUUUAUUGUAGCUUCCUGGUUUAUGGGAAAUUACCAGAUUGCGCUGUGAACCAGCUCGUUAGCCGCGCAUAGAAAACUGGGGCGAGACUGCGUCUGGCUAACAGGACCAGAGAGGUCUUUACCAAUCAAAGUGUGGGGGGCCUUCCCAGGGCCUGAGGUAGACUAGAGGAAUGGUUGCUUGGAUGCGCUGCUGUUUUGCCUCUUUUUCCUAGCUUAUUAUUGCGCAUUUAAUGUAGUUGUUGCCGCGGUCGCUCCAGUUCACUGGGAGGACAUAUGCAAAUCGGUCCGGUCAACAGUGAGCUGAAACUGGGCUGGGGUGAUGUUGCGCUGCACUGGUUCUGAUGUCCUGGGGAAUUCUCAUGCAAAUGCUCUUCCGUUAAGCAGAUGUUAAACUCUGUUUAUCCAUGCGAGGCUUACCUUUGAUCACGGGGGGAGUUUGUUAAAAUGGAUGUGGUAAUUGCUAGACAAAACACUUUUCAAUUCUCCAACCCUGCAAGCACCAAGGCAAUAUCCACACUAUAUGCAUCGCCAGAUUUUAGGGUGUGAAUAUUCUUUGUGGAGAUAUAAGAAAAUUCAAAAAGGGUGAACAGUGUGUGGACACCCUUAUGUCUAAUAGAGCAUAUGAAUUUACUUGUCUUCAUCUUGUACUCAAUGGAUUAAGUCCUAUAGAGCAAGGGCAGACAAGGAGGCUAAAAUCUGUUUUUUAUUUUUUAUUUCAUGACAAUCUCUGCUCUUAACUUAAUUAUCACAAUCAUUUAAAUGAUCGGAAAUGUUAACUAAAUUUUAUGAAUGACAUAUAAUGAUCAAUGACAAAUGAAAGACUCCCAGGUUUGUGAGCUUAAGUUCAUGUAAACAGACCAUCCAGAUAUGAUAUAGGUCAGUGGGUUGCAGAGAUGUUGCAUCCUUUGUAACAUUGUUCAUUAGUAAUAUUAAUGUUAUUUCAUAUUUUAUGUGCCUGUCUUGUUGAACCAGCAGAUACUAUAUGCUUGGGGUUCAAAACUGCUUUGUGCAUGCAUGUGUGUGAGAGAUUUUCAUUUUAUUUGUAACACAGAAAGGGUAGAAUAUGGUCUACAAAAGGCAAUUUUUUACAUGAGAAUACUACCUUGCAAUGUGGAAGUGUACAGGAAUCUAUAUAUUGUUUGCAAAUAAUCCAUAGCAAAAUGUAUACAUUUUAAAAAGCUUUACAUUUCAUGAAAGGUAAAUCCUGACAUUAAUUCCAAGUCCUUGACAAAUCCAGGGGAUGAAGCAUGUGUUUGCAUACAUUUCUCAGAAGCGUUUCUGCUAUGCAGACAUGUCACUGUUCAAUUGCCUGUGGCUUUAAAGAAAAUGCAUUUUAUAUCAGAGAAUUGCCAAUUAUUCCUUCUUCCGUGUAUUGAAUUUUAUAACUAUGACAGUGAUUCUCAACCUCGGUCCUGGAGUCCUCUGUUCAUGCUGGUUUUUGCUACAACCAAACUCUUGCUUAGUUAAGGCUGUUGAACAUGUGUAUAGGUUCGUUCUUUAUUUUUUCCUUAAAGCUAAAAGAAACCUGAUCUUAAAUUUUGUUAUUUUAUG
Molecule: long non-coding RNA, 1675 nt
Organism: Anguilla anguilla (European eel)
Lineage: Eukaryota; Metazoa; Chordata; Actinopteri; Anguilliformes; Anguillidae
Exons: 3
Source: RefSeq, a predicted model, not a curated record